GGUCAUAUUUGAUUUGGGCCAAUUUUGGGAGAUUGGUGCCGAGCUGGGCCGAGGGAAGUUGGCGGGCAGAUUGAAUUGCGGAACCCUAUGUAGCGUAAUGUACUUGGGAGUCUCCUGAGUCAUUUUACGGGGAAUUGAAAUCUUGGUGGUGGGUGUUGAGCUGAAUCAUGGCUCGGAAAUUCGGCGGUGGGUUGCGCCCGACUGGAACUCCUUCAGUGGGUUGGUCCUUUGUCGUCGUCGUCUCUUCGCUUCUCGCCGGCGCCUCCAUCGUCCACAACAUCUACAAACCAAAUCUUACCUUGCCUCCAGUGGAUGGCGUCCAAGCGACCAGCAAGAAAGACCAUGUUUAAAAUCAAUUACUUUAUAACUUCAUUUCUUUUCAGUUUUCAGCAGUUUUCAGUUACAUGUUUCUGUUACAUGUUUUUGAUGUGAAAGUUCUCUACUGUUCGGAAUGGAACAAUAGAGUGUUUGUUAUAACUAGGGUGCAUUCUCCCUUUUGUUAGUGUGAUUCUUUAUAAUUCUCAGCUGCUUUACCUUGUUCAAGAAAAGAGCGGAGCGACUUCACCUUUUGCAUCGUUCAAUUAAAAAGAGAUAGUGAAACCCAUAUUUACAAGGUUGA
Molecule: long non-coding RNA, 619 nt
Organism: Cucurbita pepo subsp. pepo (vegetable marrow)
Lineage: Eukaryota; Viridiplantae; Streptophyta; Magnoliopsida; Cucurbitales; Cucurbitaceae
Source: RefSeq, a predicted model, not a curated record